RNAcentral lists this ribosomal RNA (291 nucleotides) under uncultured bacterium. RNAcentral's name for it is "partial 16S ribosomal RNA". It matches the Rfam family "Bacterial small subunit ribosomal RNA", at positions 506 to 796 of the family's 1533-position model. The record is from RNAcentral.
UGCCAGCAGCCGCGGUAAUACGGAGGAUGCAAGCGUUAUCCGGAAUCAUUGGGUUUAAAGGGUCCGUAGGCGGCCAAAUAAGUCAGUGGUGAAAGCCCAUCGCUCAACGAUGGAACGGCCAUUGAUACUGUUUGGCUUGAAUUAUUAGGAAGUAACUAGAAUAUGUAGUGUAGCGGUGAAAUGCUUAGAGAUUACAUGGAAUACCAAUUGCGAAGGCAGGUUACUACUAAUAUAUUGACGCUGAUGGACGAAAGCGUGGGGAGCGAACAGGAUUAGAUACCCUGGUAGUCC